GAGCGGGACGAGCCGAGCCAGUCGGUAGCGGCGCGUCGUCCUGGGCGCGAGUCGCUAUGAUGAAUCGGUAUAGGCGGGAACCUGUGGUGAUGGAGACCACGACGACGGUGCUGGUGUCCCUUCUGCGCGUACUCGCCGUGUCGUUCGUGUUCGUGUGGCCGGUGUUGGGCGAGGAGACGACUAGUCUGACCAGCCGCAUGCGGGCGAUCAGCGAAGAUCUGGACCGGCAACUCAACGAGAUAAUGGCCUCGCAGGCGCUCAGCUAUUCGACGAUCAACACCGUCGGGCUGUCCUACAACGCCACCACCAAGUUCAAUCCGAAGGGCAUGGGCCAGCUGUACAACGUGACGAAUAUGUUCAUCGACCUGGUGCAGAGCAAGCAGGCAUAUCCGGAAGGUAUGAUCACCGUGGUCGACGGUGCACCGGUUUUGGCGGACCCUCUGAAGGAAUGGAAGAUAAUAGUGACGCAUUACGGCGGACUGGCCGGCCUCGCUAUGAUUGGACUCAUCCUGGCAGCUAUCCUUCCCUGCGCGGGUCUCUUUUUCUGCUGUUGCAGAUGCGCGGGGCAUUGCGGUGCUCGAAGCCAGCCCUUCGACAAAAAGCACGAUCACUGCAGAAAGAUUAUGCUCAGCAUCGUGCUGAUCGGGGUCGCCACUAUUAUUCUAUUCGGCGUGGUGUGUGCCUUCGUGACGAACGAGUACAUGCAGGAGGGAACCAAAGAGCUUCCGUGUAAAGCCAAGACUAGUCUAAAGGACGUUAAGCUCUACUUGACCACCACUAAGCAAGAGAUCGAUAAUUUGCUCAAAACCAACCCCGAAGAGCUUGAAGUUACGCUCAACAAUAUCCUGCAGGCCAGCGGUAAAAUUGUCACCGAACAACUUGCGGAGUACUCGCACGCCGUCUCCCUGACAAAUCUGAACGACAUAGUCGCUGGCUUGGAGUCGAUCAGAGAGGAUCUGAGAUUGAUGAAUAAAAUAACACAGGACUUGCGAAUAAACGCCAGUCAAUUAGACAUUGUUGUUCGUGGUGUCAAGAAAAAUCUUCUCCACACGCUAGCCGCGUGUACGACUGACAAGUGUCAACGGGUUCUACACGAUUACAAAGUGAAUCAAAUGUCUGUACAAGUGGACUUCGAUAAGUACAUGGAUCGUUACUUCCCAAAGCUUCUAGCAUCUCUGCCAGAUGUUACGUUCGCGUUGCACAACAUCACCGUGCUCAUGGAAAGUAAUAUAGUGUCGGAAGUGAGCCAAGGCAGGGAUUCGUUUUUGAAGAUUCAGAAGGACAUACAGCAUGCUGUAAAUCAGACGAUUCCUGUGGUCAGCGCGAGUAUCCGGCGGGCUUGCAACUUCCUGGCGGGUAUCGCCAAUAAUAUGACUGCCCUCAUCGACAGGCUAAAUGUUGACAUAGAUAAAGUUUAUAUACGACACUUAGAAGUUGCCCGGAGCAACAUAGAUCAGUAUUCGCCCUAUAGAUACUAUCUUGGUCUUGGUAUAUCCGGUAUUCUUCUGACUGUCUUGAUGUGUUUGACGUGUGGUCUUCUCUGUGGUAUUUGCGGAAAGCGUCCGGAUGGAUACGGAGAUGAUUGCUGUAAUAAGGGGUCAGGUGCACGAUUUCUUAUGAUGGCCGUCUGGAUUAUCUUUCUUUUAACGAGCGUUCUGAUGAUCAUAACCGUUGUUCAUAUGAUAACCGGCGUUAUGGCUCAACGUGGUGUCUGUGAGCCUUUAAAGAAUCCGAAAGAUAACAGGAUGUUCGAAUUGGUCGACGAGCUCGUACACAUCAAGAGAAUACUUUAUCCGAAAAAUCCUAAUGCGAAUAUUAACAUGAGUUACAUUGUCACCAAAUGCCAUCAGAACGAGACGCUUUACAACGUGCUGAAUCUGAAAAAUGUGUUCGACGUUGAGAGCUUGCGCGAUUACGGUGGCCGUUACGACAUCAAUGACACCAUCCAACAGCUGCGCCGUAAGAUCAGUCUCUCUCCCGGCGUAGUGAUCCUGAAAGACAGCGCGAGAUCCAAGUUGAAUGAUCUGGCACAAAGCGGUCUCAGUGACAUCAAGUUCUAUCAGUACGCCGAACUGCUCGCCGAGAACAUCACGAAUAUUAACUUGGAACAUCUUGCCAAACAGUUACGGGAGGUUUCCGCCAAAUUGCCGGAGGGACAGGAGGAAAUCAGGCUUAGUCUCGAGAAAAAUGCGCACGACUUGGAACAUUAUCACAGAGACUUGGUUAUGCCCAUGGCCAUGCUUAGCGAGCAAUUGAGCGCGAACGCGCUAACGCUUCAAGAAAACAUUAAGUUCAAUCAUACCUCGAUGGCAGACGCUAUUCAUGAUUUAGUGGAUGAAGUUACCAAGGCGCAGCAGUUCUUAAAUAAGGAUGGGCCGGAAUACGUUCAAUACCUCGCCACUAAAUUUGGUAACGCAUUUUUGCAUCAAGUGGACAAAUUCCUUGAGCACGUUAUCGAAUCAGCAAUCUUCAAGAUUGGAAGGUGUGCUCCCGUCUCGAAUGCUUAUAACGCAACGCUCGUAGCAGGAUGCAAUAAGAUCUUGGAUCCAUUCAACGGCUUCUGGGCGAGCGUCGGUUGGUGCUUGAUCCUAUUCAUACCAACGAUAGUGCUCUGCGUGAAGCUGAGCGCUUUGUACCAAAAGUCAGAUCCUUAUCCGGGGCCUCUUGUCGAAGCUGAAUAUUUGUAUGACGCGUACGCAGACAGGGAUAACAUACCCCUUGCCCACGUCCACGACAAGAAGCACGUCUCCCACGGUAGGCAUCAUCCCGCGGCGUACGUCGAGAGCUAUGAUGGUCCGGCGAUGGGAUACGGCGACCGGGAAAGGAUCUCCGACGCCCAUCAGAGCACGUCGCAUCAUGAUUCAAGAUAUUCCGACCUAGCGCCCAAGUGAGUGGGAACCCUGCGGGGGGCUCGGCCUCUCGCGUCUCUCGAUACGCCUCUGCACAAAUUGGGACUUCCCCAACGGUGGUCCGCCAAGGUAUCAACCAGCUGCCGGGGCUCCGC
This 3004-nucleotide unclassified non-coding RNA is filed under the name Pogonomyrmex barbatus (red harvester ant). RNAcentral describes it as "prominin-like protein, transcript variant X8". The record is from RNAcentral. Lineage: Eukaryota; Metazoa; Arthropoda; Insecta; Hymenoptera; Formicidae.